This 273-nucleotide ribosomal RNA is filed under the name uncultured Staphylococcus sp. RNAcentral's name for it is "partial 16S ribosomal RNA". It matches the Rfam family "Bacterial small subunit ribosomal RNA", at positions 89 to 354 of the family's 1533-position model. The record is from RNAcentral. Lineage: Bacteria; Bacillati; Bacillota; Bacilli; Caryophanales; Staphylococcaceae.
ACGUUAGCGGCGGACGGGUGAGUAACACGUGGGUAACCUACCUAUAAGACUGGGAUAACUUCGGGAAACCGGAGCUAAUACCGGAUAAUAUUCGAACCGCAUGGCUCGAUAGUGAAAGAUGGUUUUGCUAUCACUUAUAGAUGGACCCGCGCCGUAUUAGCUAGUUGGUAAGGUAACGGCUUACCAAGGCGACGAUACGUAGCCGACCUGAGAGGGUGAUCGGCCACACUGGAACUGAGACACGGUCCAGACUCCUACGGGAGGCAGCAGGUC